UUAUUUAAGAGUUUGAUCCUGGCUCAGGAUGAACGCUGGCGGCGUGCCUAACACAUGCAAGUCGAGCGAGA
This 71-nucleotide ribosomal RNA is filed under the name Bacillota bacterium. Its description in RNAcentral is "partial 16S ribosomal RNA". It matches the Rfam family "Bacterial small subunit ribosomal RNA", at positions 1 to 71 of the family's 1533-position model. The record is from RNAcentral. Lineage: Bacteria; Bacillati; Bacillota.